Molecule: ribosomal RNA, 253 nt
Filed under: uncultured bacterium
Lineage: Bacteria
Description: partial 16S ribosomal RNA
Rfam family: Bacterial small subunit ribosomal RNA
Source: RNAcentral
UACAGAGGGUGCAAGCGUUGUUCGGAAUUAUUGGGCGUAAAGAGCUCGUAGGUGGCCUGUCGCGUCGGCUGUGAAAACUCGGGGCUCAACUCCGAGCUUGCAGUCGAUACGGGCAGGCUAGAGUUCGGCAGGGGAGACUGGAAUUCCUGGUGUAGCGGUGAAAUGCGCAGAUAUCAGGAGGAACACCGGUGGCGAAGGCGGGUCUCUGGGCCGAUACUGACACUGAGGAGCGAAAGCGUGGGGAGCAAACGGG